UGGUGGAGCGAUUUGUCUGGUCAAUUCCGAUAACGAACGAGACUCUAGCCUACUAAAUAGUUCGGGGACCCCCACAAAGGGGCCCCGCUUCAACUUCUUAGAGGGACAAGUGGCGUUUAGCCACACGAGAUUGAGCAAUAACA
This 143-nucleotide ribosomal RNA is filed under the name uncultured eukaryote. Its description in RNAcentral is "partial 18S ribosomal RNA". It matches the Rfam family "Eukaryotic small subunit ribosomal RNA", at positions 1299 to 1458 of the family's 1831-position model. The record is from RNAcentral.